This 254-nucleotide ribosomal RNA is filed under the name uncultured bacterium. RNAcentral describes it as "partial 16S ribosomal RNA". It matches the Rfam family "Bacterial small subunit ribosomal RNA", at positions 524 to 776 of the family's 1533-position model. The record is from RNAcentral.
UACGUAGGGGGCAAGCGUUGUCCGGAAUCAUUGGGCGUAAAGAGCUCGUAGGCGGUGUGUCACGUCGUUCGUGAAAACCUGCAGCUUAACUGUGGGCGUGCGGUCGAUACGGGCAUCACUGGAGUUCGGCAGGGGAGACUGGAAUUCCUGGUGUAGCGGUGAAAUGCGCAGAUAUCAGGAGGAACACCGGUGGCGAAGGCGGGUCUCUGGGCCGAUACUGACGCUGAGGAGCGAAAGCGUGGGGAGCAAACAGG